GCUGCCAAGAUGGCACACAACAUGCCUACGGACA
RNAcentral lists this transfer RNA (34 nucleotides) under Merganetta armata. Its description in RNAcentral is "partial tRNA-Phe". The record is from RNAcentral. Lineage: Eukaryota; Metazoa; Chordata; Aves; Anseriformes; Anatidae.